UUGAACGCUGGCGGUAUGCUUUACACAUGCAAGUCGAACGGCAGCACGGGGCAACCUGGUGGCGAGUGGCGAACGGGUGAGUAACAUAUCGGAACAUAUCCGGAAGUGGGGGAUACCGUAGCGAAAGUUACGCUAAUACCGCAUAUGCCCUGAGGGGGAAAGUGGGGGAUCGCAAGACCUCACGCUUUCGGAGUGGCCGAUAUCAGAUUAGCUAGUUGGUGGGGUAAAGGCCCACCAAGGCGACGAUCCGUAGCGGGUCUGAGAGGACGACCCGCCACACUGGAACUGAGACACGGUCCAGACUCCUACGGGAGGCAGCAGUGGGGAAUUUUGGACAAUGGGGGAAACCCUGAUCCAGCCAUUCCGCGUGAGUGAAGAAGGCCUUCGGGUUGUAAAGCUCUUUCAGCAGGAACGAAACGGUAGGCUUUAAUACAGUUUGCUAAUGACGGUACCUGCAGAAGAAGCACCGGCUAACUACGU
This 480-nucleotide ribosomal RNA is filed under the name uncultured bacterium. Its description in RNAcentral is "bacterial SSU rRNA". It matches the Rfam family "Bacterial small subunit ribosomal RNA", at positions 30 to 506 of the family's 1533-position model. The record is from RNAcentral.